Molecule: non-coding RNA, 2426 nt
Organism: Cricetulus griseus (Chinese hamster)
Lineage: Eukaryota; Metazoa; Chordata; Mammalia; Rodentia; Cricetidae
Source: RefSeq, a predicted model, not a curated record
ACCCUACAGCCCAGCACACCUUUGCUCUAUGGAAAGACUCUCUGGGGUCCCUCCACUCCCUAGUGACCAGGCGCUUCCAGGUGAGAGGUCAUGCUGCUCCUGCACUCCCAGCAGGGUCUCUGCUCUGACUCUGAACUUCUGCAUGCUCCAUGGUGCAUUCUGCAUACUGCUACAAGCACUCCCAGGCUGGUCUCCUUGGAAUACCUGCAACAUCUGGGAUGCUCCCUGCUGAGGGGGCACCUGUACACAUGUGUGAGUCUCCAUGGUCCACUUGCACCUGCAGUCAAGAAACCACAGGGCUGCUGCACUUCCUUUGCUCCUGUCUGUCCAGGUGUGUCUGCAAUUCUGAGUCACAUUCUGCAGGCACUUUUGUUUCCAGAUUAGACUCAUCUGUGCCUCGAAAGUCCCAUGAGUCUCUCUGAUGUGCUUCUGCAUCUCGGUCCCUGGGACAAUAUGUGAGUCACCUGACCCAUCUCAGCUUUCUAGGGCAAAUUCUCUGCUGGGUAUGCAUUUCCCAGUGAGACUACCUGGCCCAACUGUACUCCAUGUGAGAACUCCUGGUGCACAUGCAUUCUCAGGUGUGAGGUGACUCUAUUGUAUCCACCCUCUCAGGCCAGACACCUUGUAGGGCCUUUGCUCCAAGGUAAGUCUCCCUGGUAAAUCUCAAUGUUCAGAACAAAUGCCAAUGUACUUUCUCUUCUAGAUGAGCCUUGCUGUCGACAAUACACCCUUGAGUGAGCAUCCCAAAUUGACAUGCACACGUAGGCACCCUUCUGUACUGGGCCUCUGAAAUCAGACUGCAUUGAAUCCCGCCAUUAUAGCUGCACUGCUAUUGAACUUUCAUGUAAGAAUCUGUUGCACUCUCACAUCUAGGUGAUGUUUCCUGGUGUACACACACUUCAAACUGAGUACCCCUGUGCUGAUAAAGUCUCAGAUGAAACUUAAUGCUGCAACUUUACACACAGGAGAGAUUUCUGUGGUGCAAAUGCAGCUGACUCUGUUAUAUCUGCUUUCCAGAGACCCAGUCAUCUCGAUAGACCUCCAAGUCUGCCUGUGUCACGCUGUCAGUAGGACUUCAGGUCUGGCCGUGUCACACUGUCGUGCCUGCUAUAUCUCACAAGUCUCUCUAAAGCUAUUUUAGGUCAAUUUGAGACCCUCGGGUGUGUAGUGACUUUCAGAUGUGAUCCUGUUGCACAAAUACCUGCACGAGAAACAUCCUGGUGUUCUGGGGCUCAGAGAUGAGAGUGACACUCCUUGGUUUACCUGCACGUGCUGAUGAGGACGAGGGGCACUUGCACAUCCAAGUGCUGUACCCUGACCCUCCUCUGCUUCUGUGUGACACAUCCUGCAGCAGCUUCCUUCUGAUGUGAGAGUUGGUGGUACACAUGCCCUCCAGGUGAGUCACACUCAUGAUUGACAAUUCACACACUGUGCAAGCAUGCAGUCCCCCAGAAUUCUGCGUUUCUAGUUGACUUUCUUUGUGCACAUGGACUACUAGGUGAUCUUAGCUGAGUUAAGAUGGUUCCCCUGCACUUCUAGCUGAGUUUCCUUGCAGAACCCGAAGUCCCCACUUACACUCUCUGGAAACAAUGACCCACCAGAUGAACAACUGCAAUAGAUACAAACAGAACAUGCCGUCAUUAUGUGCUCUUUACACUUUAAUUACCCUUUAGUGCAAUUAAAUCACAGUAUUUUGGUGUUUUACCUUCAUCUCUUCCUUUUCCCAUAGAUAACUUUCCUCGUCUAGAUCCAAGUUUUUUUAAACUACUGCUUCUGCCUAGAGAAUGUUUUGCAGAAUUUCUAGAAGAGGGGUCUUCUGGUGGUCUAGUUUGAUAUUUGGAGCUGUGAUGAAACAUUGCAAAAGUUAGCUUGUGUAGGAAAGCAGUUAUUUCAUCUUAUACACCCAGGUCACAAUUCUUCAUCAAGGGAGGUUGGGUCAGGAUUCAAAGCAGAAACCCAGAGGUGAGAAGUAAAGCAGAGAAGUUGGAGUGAAGCUGCUAACAGGCUAUUGAGUGCAUCUCCAUUCGGGUAGGUAUUUGAUACAGCUCAGAACCACCUGCCCAGUGAUGGAACCAUUCACUGUGGGCUGGAACCUCCACAACACCUAUUGUCAAUCUGUGGGACUUGACCACUUUGCUUGGAGUCAACAACCCUUUCACAGGAGUCUUGCAUAACAGAUAUUCACAACUUGUAAUAGUUGCAAAAUUACAGUUAUGAUGUUGUAAAAAAAUAGUUUAUGGAUGGGGUGACCAUAAUAUUAGGAAUUGUACUGAAGGAUCACAGCAUUAGGAAGGUUGAAGCACUGUUCCACAUCAAUCUGUAAUAAAGGUAAUUUCUCUCUCACAGACAUGGUUACUGGGCAAUCUGACCUGAGCAAUCCAACAUCUGAGUCUCUCCAAAUGACUCUGGGCUAUGUUUAACCAAAA